This is a long non-coding RNA of Thalassophryne amazonica, 444 nucleotides long. RefSeq lists it as uncharacterized. The record is from RefSeq and is a predicted model, not a curated record. The transcript is spliced from 3 exons. NCBI's taxonomy places the organism in Eukaryota, Metazoa, Chordata, Actinopteri, Batrachoidiformes, Batrachoididae.
UGGAGACUCAGGACAAAAUGAAGAAAUGGAUCAGGGGGAUGAUGAAGAUUGUCAUGACAAUGGAGUUGACUCUGGAGGAGAUGAUGAAGAUGAUGAUUUUCAGCAUGGUGAUGGGGAGGAAGGAGAUGAACCAGAUGAUAAUUACCGGGGAUUCAGCCUUGAAGAUGGAAAUCUUCCAAUUUAUCCAGAUGCACCCAUCACCAAGUCACAGAGUCUACUGCUGAUAGUGUCCUGUGUCUUGCGGCAUGGUCUUUCUGAUAGUUCUUUGGAUGAUCUUCUUUCUUUGAUGAAUAUACACUGUCCAAACAGUGUUCCUGCUGUACAAGAGUGUUGAAGAUUCAAUGUACGAGGUUCACUGUUAUUGCAUGGAGUGUACUGCAUAUCUUGGCCCCAAGAAAUUGUCAAGGAAUUGUACAAACUGCGGCAAUGAAUUCAGUGCAGACA